UACGUAGGGGGCGAGCGUUGUCCGAAGUUACUGGGCGUAAAGCGCGCGUAGGCGGGCUAUUAAGUUGGAUGUGAAAUCUUCGGGCUCAACCCGGAAACCGCAUCCAAAACUGUUAGCCUUGAGGUAUGGAGAGGGAAGUGGAAUUCCUGGUGUAGCGGUGAAAUGCGUAGAUAUCAGGAGGAACACCCGUGGCGAAGGCGGCUUCCUGGCCAUAUCCUGACGCUGAGGUGCGAAAGCUAGGGGAGCGAACGGG
RNAcentral lists this ribosomal RNA (253 nucleotides) under uncultured bacterium. RNAcentral's name for it is "partial 16S ribosomal RNA". It matches the Rfam family "Bacterial small subunit ribosomal RNA", at positions 524 to 776 of the family's 1533-position model. The record is from RNAcentral.